CGGGGUAGAGUAACGCGUGAGGAACCUGCCUCAAAGAGGGGGACAACAGUUGGAAACGACUGCUAAUACCGCAUAAGCCCACGGUGCCGCAUGGCACAGAGGGAAAAGGAGCAAUCCGCUUUGAGAUGGCCUCGCGUCCGAUUAGCUAGUUGGUGAGGUAAUGGCCCACCAAGGCGACGAUCGGUAGCCGGACUGAGAGGUUGAACGGCCACAUUGGGACUGAGACACGGCCCAG
Molecule: ribosomal RNA, 235 nt
Filed under: uncultured bacterium
Lineage: Bacteria
Description: partial 16S ribosomal RNA
Rfam family: Bacterial small subunit ribosomal RNA
Source: RNAcentral